UGGGGGAUUUUGGACAAUGGGCGCAAGCCUGAUCCAGCAAUGCCGCGUGCAGGAUGAAGGCCUUCGGGUUGUAAACUGCUUUUGUACGGGAAGAAACACUCCUUCGUGAAGGAGCUUGACGGUACCGUAAGAAUAAGCACCGGCUAACUACGUGCCAGCAGCCGCGGUAAUACGUAGGGUGCGAGCGUUAAUCGGAAUUACUGGGCGUAAAGCGUGCGCAGGCGGUUAUAUAAGACAGAUGUGAAAUCCCCGGGCUCAACCUGGGACCUGCAUUUGUGACUGUAUAGCUAGAGUACGGUAGAGGGGGAUGGAAUUCCGCGUGUAGCAGUGAAAUGCGUAGAUAUGCGGAGGAACACCGAUGGCGAAGGCAAUCCCCUGGACCUGUACUGACGCUCAUGCACGAAAGCGUGGGGAGCAAACA
RNAcentral lists this ribosomal RNA (421 nucleotides) under uncultured bacterium. RNAcentral's name for it is "bacterial SSU rRNA". It matches the Rfam family "Bacterial small subunit ribosomal RNA", at positions 355 to 774 of the family's 1533-position model. The record is from RNAcentral.